GGGCCGUUAGCUCAGUUGGCAGAGCAGGGGACUUUUAAUCCCAAGGUCGGGGGUUCGAGCCCCCCACGGCCCACCA
Molecule: transfer RNA, 76 nt
Filed under: Eggerthellaceae bacterium
Lineage: Bacteria; Bacillati; Actinomycetota; Coriobacteriia; Eggerthellales; Eggerthellaceae
Also listed under: 2 other names
Description: tRNA-Lys
Rfam family: tRNA
About the family: Transfer RNA (tRNA) molecules are approximately 80 nucleotides in length. Their secondary structure includes four short double-helical elements and three loops (D, anti-codon, and T loops). Further hydrogen bonds mediate the characteristic L-shaped molecular structure. tRNAs have two regions of fundamental functional importance: the anti-codon, which is responsible for specific mRNA codon recognition, and the 3' end, to which the tRNAs corresponding amino acid is attached (by aminoacyl-tRNA synthetases). tRNAs cope with the degeneracy of the genetic code in two manners: having more than one tRNA (with a specific anti-codon) for a particular amino acid; and 'wobble' base-pairing, i.e. permitting non-standard base-pairing at the 3rd anti-codon position.
Source: RNAcentral